GCUUCCAUAGCAUAAUGGACAAUGCAGUAGCCUUCUAAGCUAUGUAUCUAGGUUCGAUUCCUAGUGGAAGUG
This 72-nucleotide transfer RNA is filed under the name Caudoviricetes sp. RNAcentral's name for it is "tRNA-Arg". It matches the Rfam family "tRNA". Rfam says of the family: Transfer RNA (tRNA) molecules are approximately 80 nucleotides in length. The record is from RNAcentral. Lineage: Duplodnaviria; Heunggongvirae; Uroviricota; Caudoviricetes.